GAUGAAGAACGUAGCGAAAUGCGAUACGUAAUGUGAAUUGCAGAAUUCAGUGAAUCAUCGAAUCUUUGAACGCACCUUGCACUCUUUGGUAUUCCGAAGAGUAUGUCUGUUUGAGUGUCAUGAAACUCUCAACCCCCUAAUUUUGUAAUGAGAUUAGUGUGGGCUUGGAUCAUGGUUGUUGCCGGCUUCGUUGUCGGCUCGACUGAAAUACACGAGCUACCCAUUUGAAAUAGACGGUUUGACUCGGCGUAAUAAUUAUUUCGCUGAGGACGUCUUCUUCGAAAGUCAGUGGUGCUUCUAAUGCAUUAUAAAUUUAAGCUUUAGACCUCAAAUCAGUCAGGACUACCCGCUGAACUUAAGCAUAUCAAUAAGCGGAGGA
This 379-nucleotide unclassified non-coding RNA is filed under the name soil metagenome. RNAcentral describes it as "partial contains 5.8S ribosomal RNA, internal transcribed spacer 2, and large subunit ribosomal RNA". The stretch from base 1 to 120 matches the Rfam family "5.8S ribosomal RNA", at positions 35 to 154 of the family's 154-position model. The record is from RNAcentral.